RNAcentral lists this ribosomal RNA (253 nucleotides) under uncultured bacterium. RNAcentral describes it as "partial 16S ribosomal RNA". It matches the Rfam family "Bacterial small subunit ribosomal RNA", at positions 524 to 776 of the family's 1533-position model. The record is from RNAcentral.
UACGAAGGGGGCUAGCGUUGCUCGGAAUGACUGGGCGUAAAGGGCGCGUAGGCGGCACACACAGUCAGAAGUGAAAUUCCUGGGCUCAACCUGGGGACUGCUUUUGAUACGUGUGAGCUAGAGUGAGGAAGAGGGUUGUGGAAUUUCCAGUGUAGAGGUGAAAUUCGUAGAUAUUGGAAAGAACACCGGUGGCGAAGGCGGCAACCUGGUCCUUUACUGACGCUGAGGCGCGAAAGCGUGGGGAGCAAACAGG